AAAUGAAUAGACGGGGGCCCGCACAAGCAGUGGAGUAUGUGGUUUAAUUCGACGCAACGCGAAAAACCUUACCAGGUCUUGACAUCCUACUAACGAAGCAGAAAUGCAUUAGGUGCCCUUCGGGGAAAGUAGAGACAGGUGGUGCAUGGUUGUCGUCAGCUCGUGUCGUGAGAUGUUGGGUUAAGUCCCGCAACGAGCGCAACCCUUAUUGUUAGUUGCUACGCAAGAGCACUCUAACGAGACUGCCGUUGACAAAACGGAGGAAGGUGGGGAUGACGUCAAAUCAUCAUGCCCUUUAUGACCUGGGCUACACACGUACUACAAUGGCGGUAAACAAAGAGGAGCGACGGGGUGACCCUAAGCAAAUCUUCAAAAGCCGUCUCAGUUCGGAUUGUAGGCUGAAACCCGCCUACAUGAAGUUGGAAUUGCUAGUAAUCGUGAAUCAGCAUGUCACGGUGAAUACGUUCCCGGGCCUUGUACACACCGCCCGU
RNAcentral lists this ribosomal RNA (491 nucleotides) under uncultured bacterium. RNAcentral describes it as "bacterial SSU rRNA". It matches the Rfam family "Bacterial small subunit ribosomal RNA", at positions 903 to 1397 of the family's 1533-position model. The record is from RNAcentral.